CGGAGGGUGCAAGCGUUAUCCGGAUUUACUGGGUUUAAAGGGUGCGCAGGCGGAUAUGUAAGUCAGUGGUGAAAUCUCCGGGCUUAACCCGGAAACUGCCGUUGAUACUAUAUAUCUUGAAUGCUGUGGAGGUAAGCAGAAUAUGUCAUGUAGCGGUGAAAUGCUUAGAGAUGACAUAGAAUACCUAUUGCGAAGGCAGCUUACUACGCAGAUAUUGACGCUCAUGCACGAAAGCGUGGGGAUCAAACAGGAUUAGACACCCUGGUAGUCCACGCCCUAAACGAUGAUUACUCGACAUACGCGAUAUACAGUGUGUGUCUGAGCGAAAGCAUUAAGUAAUCCACCUGGGAAGUACGAUCGCAAGAUUG
RNAcentral lists this ribosomal RNA (368 nucleotides) under uncultured organism. Its description in RNAcentral is "bacterial SSU rRNA". It matches the Rfam family "Bacterial small subunit ribosomal RNA", at positions 526 to 896 of the family's 1533-position model. The record is from RNAcentral.